Long non-coding RNA from Oreochromis niloticus (Nile tilapia), 1213 nucleotides. RefSeq lists it as uncharacterized. The record is from RefSeq and is a predicted model, not a curated record. The transcript is spliced from 8 exons. Lineage: Eukaryota; Metazoa; Chordata; Actinopteri; Cichliformes; Cichlidae.
AGGUGUUCUGGGAAUUUCUCCUACCCCGCAAACCGUCCUACCCGUUGUUCCUGAGCAUGUGCGCGCAUGCGCACAACACAUAAAGUGAAGCAAAGCGCAUCCGGCUGUGAUUUAAUGCUACCCCGUUGUCAUAUUUGCAGGAAAAUAGCUUCGGUGAAGUCUGCUGUCAAGUUACUGGACACGUUGUAUUUGCACAACACUUCUGAAUCCGCAGCUUUGGUGUUUUAAGGCUGUUUCGGUAAUGUCGUUAUUUAAUAAGUUAAAUUAUUUGCAUUGUUAACUGCACAUAUUGAAGCUCAGAAGAAAAUGUUUACUUACAUUCGUAGAUAUGGAGAAGAAGUGGGAAGAGAUUUACGCGUUUAUUUCUGCGGGCUCCAACCCUUCAGGAUAUGACAAGGCUCAGAGGCAAAACCUCAGAAGAUAUGCCUCAAAAUUCCAACAAAAGGAUGGAGAACUGUUUGUUGGAACCAGAAGAGUAGUAAAAACCAUGGAUGAUGCCAGGAAGCUAUUUCAUGAGUUUCAUUCAUCUCCAAUUGGAGGACACACUGGCACACACAAAACGCUAAAUGCAGUGUGUUCCAGAUUUUACUGGUUUGGUAUGAUAGUUGACAUUAAAACAUGGAUUCUGGAAUGUGACCAGUGUCAAAAAGUUGGGAAACCACUGACUGCUGUGCAACCGUUGCAGUGUAUUCAGGUGUCUGAAGUGUGGGAACUUAUUGGUAUAGAUCUUACUGGACCUCUUCCUAAAACGUCAAGCGGCUUCCAGUAUAUACUUACUGCAACUGACUACUUUUCAAAAUGGGUUGAAGCUUUCCCAUUAAAAACGAAAUCUGCAUCUGAGGUAGCCAAUGAGAUGAAAAGACCAAUGACAACAUAAAAAGAGCCCUCCGAAAACUGGUGAAUGACCAGCAGAAUAACUGGGAUCUGUAUCUAGAUCCCACCCUGUUUUCACUGCGGUCAAAAGUACACACCACAACAAAAUACUCACCUUUUUUUCUGAUGUAUGGAAGAGAGGCAGUAUUUCCAUCAGAAGUGCCUGCUCAAGUGCCGUGAAGUGGCUUUGGGCUGCAAAAGACACCGGGCGUGUGGAGGCAGUCGUUGGGCCAUACAAAUUGUAUGACUCUUCUUUUCGCACACUGGAGGACAGUGGGUGGCUUUCUGAUGAGGUCAUUGAUGGAUACCUGCACUGCCUCAUUAGGAAACAAAAGGCAAG